UAAUACGAAGGGGGCUAGCGUUGUUCGGAAUUACUGGGCGUAAAGGGCGUGUAGGCGGUCCGCUAAGUCAGGUGUGAAAGGCCUGGGCUCAACCCAGGAAAUGCGCCUGAGACUGACGGACUUGAGUCCGGGAGAGGAUGGUGGAACUCCCAGUGUAGAGGUGAAAUUCGUAGAUAUUG
RNAcentral lists this ribosomal RNA (179 nucleotides) under uncultured bacterium. RNAcentral describes it as "partial 16S ribosomal RNA". It matches the Rfam family "Bacterial small subunit ribosomal RNA", at positions 521 to 699 of the family's 1533-position model. The record is from RNAcentral.